UGUGGCCGGGAGCCCCAUGCCAGUCGAUCAUCGCAUGCUGGCAUUGCUGUCUCCCUGGCGCG
Pseudomonas sp. Lz4W is the source of this 62-nucleotide non-coding RNA. Lineage: Bacteria; Pseudomonadati; Pseudomonadota; Gammaproteobacteria; Pseudomonadales; Pseudomonadaceae. The record is from Rfam.